RNAcentral lists this non-coding RNA (30 nucleotides) under Mus musculus (house mouse). The record is from RNAcentral. Lineage: Eukaryota; Metazoa; Chordata; Mammalia; Rodentia; Muridae.
CAGCCAACAUUGGCAAUUCAUUUAGCCAUC